AAUGGGGGAAACCCUGAUGCAGCGAUGCCGCGUGAGUGAAGAAGGCCUUUGGGUUGUAAAACUCUUUCGUCGGGGAAGAAAAUGACUGUACCCGAAUAAGAAGGUCCGGCUAACUUCGUGCCAGCAGCCGCGGUAAUACGAAGGGAUCUAGCGUAGUUCGGAAUUACUGGGCUUAAAGAGCUCGUAGGUGGUUAAAAAAGUUGGUGGUGAAAUCCCAAGGCUUAACCUUGGAACUGCCAUCAAAACUUUUUAGCUUGAGUGUGAUAGAGGAAAGUGGAAUUUCUAGUGUAGAGGUGAAAUUCGUAGAUAUUAGAAAGAACACCAAAAGCGAAGGCAACUUUCUGGAUCACUACUGACACUGAGGAGCGAAAGCAUGGGUAGCGAAGAGGAUU
RNAcentral lists this ribosomal RNA (392 nucleotides) under uncultured Gammaproteobacteria bacterium. Its description in RNAcentral is "bacterial SSU rRNA". It matches the Rfam family "Bacterial small subunit ribosomal RNA", at positions 370 to 779 of the family's 1533-position model. The record is from RNAcentral. Lineage: Bacteria; Pseudomonadati; Pseudomonadota; Gammaproteobacteria.